This 450-nucleotide ribosomal RNA is filed under the name uncultured bacterium. RNAcentral describes it as "SSU rRNA". It matches the Rfam family "Bacterial small subunit ribosomal RNA", at positions 26 to 518 of the family's 1533-position model. The record is from RNAcentral.
AGAACGAACGCUGGCGGCAUGCCUAACACAUGCAAGUCGAACGCUCUUGGUUUCGGCCAAGGGAGUGGCGCACGGGUGAGUAACGCGUGGGAACCUGCCCUGGAGUGGGGGAUAACCGAGGGAAACCUCGGCUAAUACCGCAUACGACCUGAGGGUGAAAGAUUUAUCGCUCUAGGAGGGGCCCGCGUCGGAUUAGCUAGUUGGUGAGGUAACGGCCCACCAAGGCUAUGAUCCGUAGCUGGUCUGAGAGGAUGAUCAGCCACACUGGGACUGAGACACGGCCCAGACUCCUACGGGAGGCAGCAGUGGGGAAUAUUGGACAAUGGGCGCAAGCCUGAUCCAGCAAUGCCGCGUGAGUGAUGAAGGCCUUAGGUUGUAAAGCUCUUUCACACGCGACGAUGAUGACGGUAGCGUGAGAAGAAGCCCGGCUAACUUCGUGCCAGCAGCCGC